Molecule: ribosomal RNA, 200 nt
Filed under: uncultured bacterium
Lineage: Bacteria
Description: partial 16S ribosomal RNA
Rfam family: Bacterial small subunit ribosomal RNA
Source: RNAcentral
AUUGAACGCUGGCGGCAUGCCUUACACAUGCAAGUCGAGCGGCAGCACGGGAGCAAUCCUGGUGGCGAGUGGCGAACGGGUGAGUAAUAUAUCGGAACGUGCCCAGUAAUGGGGGAUAGCCCGGCGAAAGCCGGAUUAAUACCGCAUACGACCUACGGGUGAAAGCGGGGGAUCGCAAGACCUCGCGUUAUUGGAGCGGC